GCUCCCAUACACUAACGGUUAGGUGGUAGCCCUUUCACGGCUAAGGUCUCGGUUCGAACCCGGGUGGGAGUA
This 72-nucleotide transfer RNA is filed under the name marine sediment metagenome. RNAcentral describes it as "tRNA-Glu". It matches the Rfam family "tRNA". From Rfam's summary of the family: Transfer RNA (tRNA) molecules are approximately 80 nucleotides in length. The record is from RNAcentral.